This 305-nucleotide ribosomal RNA is filed under the name uncultured bacterium. Its description in RNAcentral is "bacterial SSU rRNA". It matches the Rfam family "Bacterial small subunit ribosomal RNA", at positions 337 to 635 of the family's 1533-position model. The record is from RNAcentral.
GCCUACGGGGCGCAGCAGUAGGGAAUUUUCGUCAAUGGGCGCAAGCCUGAACGAGCAAUGCCGCGUGAACGAGGAAGGUCUUCGGAUCGUAAAGUUCUGUUGAAGGGGAAAAAGAGCGGAGAGAGGAAAUGCUUUCUGAUUGAUAUUACCCUUCGAGGAAGUCACGGCUAACUACGUGCCAGCAGCCGCGGUAAUACGUAGGUGGCGAGCGUUAUCCGGAAUGAUUGGGCGUAAAGGGUGCGUAGGCGGUCUGCUAAGUCUGGAGUGAAAGGUACCGGCUCAACCGGUACAGGCUCUGGAAACUG